UGAGGAAUAUUGGUCAAUGGACGAGAGUCUGAACCAGCCAAGUAGCGUGAAGGAUGACUGCCCUAUGGGUUGUAAACUUCUUUUAUACGGGAAUAAAGUUAGCCACGUGUGGCUUUUUGUAUGUACCGUAUGAAUAAGGAUCGGCUAACUCCGUGCCAGCAGCCGCGGUAAUACGGAGGAUCCGAGCGUUAUCCGGAUUUAUUGGGUUUAAAGGGAGCGUAGGCGGGUUGUUAAGUCAGUUGUGAAAGUUUGCGGCUCAACCGUAAAAUUGCAGUUGAUACUGGCGACCUUGAGUGCAACAGAGGUAGGCGGAAUUCGUGGUGUAGCGGUGAAAUGCUUAGAUAUCACGAAGAACUCCGAUUGCGAAGGCAGCUUACUGGAUUGUAACUGACGCUGAUGCUCGAAAGUGUGGGUAUCAAACAGGAUUAGAUACCCUGGUAGUCCACACAGUAAACGAUGAAUACUCGCUGUUGGCGAUAUACUGUCAGCGGCCAAGCGAAAGCAUUAAGUAUUCCACCUGGGGAGUACGCCGGCAACGGUGAAACUCAAAGGAAUUGACGGGGGCCCGCACAAGCGGAGGAACAUGUGGUUUAAUUCGAUGAUACGCGAGGAACCUUACCCGGGCUUAAAUUGCAACUGACGGAACUGGAAACGGUUCUUUCUUCGGACAGUUGUGAAGGUGCUGCAUGGUUGUCGUCAGCUCGUGCCGUGAGGUGUCGGCUUAAGUGCCAUAACGAGCGCAACCCUUAUCGAUAGUUACUAGCAGGUCAUGCUGAGGACUCUAUUGAGACUGCCGUCGUAAGAUGUGAGGAAGGUGGGGAUGACGUCAAAUCAGCACGGCCCUUACGUCCGGGGCUACACACGUGUUACAAUGGGGGGUACAGAAGGCAGCUACACGGCGACGUGGUGCUAAUCCCGAAAGCCUCUCUCAGUUCGGAUUGGAGUCUGCAACCCGACUCCAUGAAGCUGGAUUCGCUAGUAAUCGCGCAUCAGCCACGGCGCGGUGAAUACGUUCCC
This 1017-nucleotide ribosomal RNA is filed under the name uncultured bacterium. RNAcentral's name for it is "bacterial SSU rRNA". It matches the Rfam family "Bacterial small subunit ribosomal RNA", at positions 355 to 1375 of the family's 1533-position model. The record is from RNAcentral.